UUUUUCGUUUUACAGAAACUAAAAAACCCUAGCUGUCCCCCCCCCCACCCAAGAACAAAGGGGUUGAAUUACUAAUCGAUGAAGAAAUCUCCCACCAUGGCUAAAUCAUAUAUUUGUAUCAUUAUUUUUGUUCUAAAACCAAUUUUUAACUCAUGGUUGGAAGUUUCUUUCCAUAUCAGAACAUCAGAUAAUUGGAAUUGAAGAGAUGGAUGUAAAUGGAGGAGGGUAUAAUCUAAGAACAGGAGAUUUUAAAGGUAGAAGAGCUGGAUUGAUUAAAUCUCUCACUUCUGGACUUCCAAGGGAGCCCAAAUAUAGUCAUUUGAGAGAUCUUCAUAAAGCAAUCAACCCGAAGCUACUUGUGCCUAAAUCUAGGUGUAAAGGUUGAGAUGCACUCUGCUGGGGAGGAAAGUGGGAAAUUGAUAACUGCAAUGAGUUGACUAAGACAGCUGGAAUUGGAUCUAACAACAUCCCAAGUCAUGGCCAGCUGUUGUUCUUUGCACAGCAGAGACAUAUCCAACAAGUAGCUGUUGGUAGGUUGCCAGAGCUGAAUGUAUAUGGUCCCGACUAUCCCACCAAGGAUGGAAGUGCGGUACGAGAUUACAUUCAUGUCAUGGAUUUAGCGGUGAUAUCCUGUUUGAAAAAGCUUAUCAUGUCAGAGAAUAUUGGUUGUGCGGACUGGGCGUGGAACAUCUGUGCUUGAGAUGGUUCUGCAUUCGAGUUAAAAGAAUCUCGGUUAAGCUGUGCUCAUGAAGUCCAGGAGAUGCAAUUGCUGUUAUGCAUCUAGAGGAUUGUACUCUAUUGAGAGCAUCUCCACUACCUCAUCUAGAUUAAAAUUAUAGUCUACUUACACGCCAUCAAGAGUAACUGUUGUUUAUAUGAAUAAUCCCUCAUCCUUAGAAACUUGCCAUUUUUAAAAUCUUUUUGUUUCCUUAAAACUUUUUUGUGUGUAAAAAAUAAAAAUUCUUGAAUAUGGCCGUUCUCUGUGGAGAGAGGGGCGUUCCGAAAUAAUUGAUGUUUUAAUAAUUUUCUUCUGCCGUCUUCAUUCAAUUGAGAAAUUGACUCACUCUCUCUCUGUAAUUAUUCAUGUUCUUCAUUUAUUCAUAUGCGUGGAAAGAAAACAAGGUUUGCAAGUAGACUGUAAUAUUGCUUGUGACUUUCAGAUCAUAAAUCAUUUUUUGUUUA
Long non-coding RNA from Papaver somniferum (opium poppy), 1182 nucleotides. RefSeq lists it as uncharacterized. Lineage: Eukaryota; Viridiplantae; Streptophyta; Magnoliopsida; Ranunculales; Papaveraceae. The record is from RefSeq and is a predicted model, not a curated record. The transcript has 7 exons.